RNAcentral lists this ribosomal RNA (455 nucleotides) under uncultured bacterium. Its description in RNAcentral is "bacterial SSU rRNA". It matches the Rfam family "Bacterial small subunit ribosomal RNA", at positions 340 to 786 of the family's 1533-position model. The record is from RNAcentral.
UACGGAAGGCAGCAGUGGGGAAUAUUGCACAAUGGGCGAAAGCCUGAUGCAGCUAUGCCGCGUGUAUGAAGAAGGCCUUAGGGUUGUAAAGUACUUUCAUUGGGGAGGAAAAACAAAACUAAUAAUUUUAUUUCUUGACGUUACCCGAAAAAGAAGCACCGGCUAACUCCGUGCCAGCAGCCGCGGUAAUACGGAGGGUGCUAGCGUUAAUCAGAAUUACUGGGCGUAAAGAGCACGUAGGUGGUUUUUUUAAAGUCAGAUGUGAAAUCCCUGGGCUUAACCUGGAACUGCAUUUUGAAACUGAAAUACUAGAGUAUCGUAGAGGGAGGUAGAAUUCUAGGUGUAGCGGUGAAAUGCGUAGAUAUCUGGAGGAAUACCUGUGGCGAAAGCGGCCUCCUAAACGAAUACUGACACUGAGGUGCGAAAGCGUGGGGAGCAAACAGGGAUUAGAUACC